CCAAUAGCGUAUAUUAAAGUUGUUGCAGUUAAAAAGCUCGUAGUUGAAUUUCGGGGUUCAUCCGUUGGUCGGGCUAUUUUGGUCUGUACUGGUGUGAUGGAUUCCUACCUUCUGAAUAACCGGCAUGUCAUUAAUUUGGUGCGCCGGGGAAGCAGGACUGUUACCUUGAAAAAAUUAGAGUGCUUAAAGCAGGCUAUCGCCUGAAUACAUUAGCAUGGAAUAAUGAAAUAGGACGGAAUGGUUCUAUUUUGUUGGUUUCUAGGAUCACCGUAAUGAUUAAUAGGGAUAGUUGGGGGCAUUAGUAUUCAAUUGUCAGAGGUGAAAUUCUUGGAUUUAUUGAAGACUAACUUCUGCGAAAGCAUUUGCCAAGGAUGUUUUCAUUAAUCAAGAACGAAAGUUAGGGGAUCGAAGACGAUCAGAUACCGUCGUAGUCUUAACCAUAAACUAUGCCGACUAGGGAUCGGACGAAGUUAAUUUUUUAAUGACUCGUUCGGCGCCUUACG
RNAcentral lists this ribosomal RNA (503 nucleotides) under uncultured Glomeromycotina. RNAcentral describes it as "partial small subunit ribosomal RNA". It matches the Rfam family "Eukaryotic small subunit ribosomal RNA", at positions 591 to 1092 of the family's 1831-position model. Lineage: Eukaryota; Fungi; Glomeromycota. The record is from RNAcentral.